ACGGGUGAGUAACACGUGGGAACGUACCCUUCGGUUCGGAAUAACGCUGGGAAACUAGCGCUAAUACCGGAUACGCCCUUAUGGGGAAAGGUUUACUGCCGAAGGAUCGGCCCGCGUCUGAUUAGCUAGUUGGUGGGGUAAUGGCCUACCAGGGCGACGAUCAGUAGCUGGUCUGAGAGGAUGAUCAGCCACACUGGGACUGAGACACGGCCCAGACUCCUACGGGAGGCAGCAGUGGGGAAUAUUGGACAAUGGGCGCAAGCCUGAUCCAGCCAUGCCGCGUGAGUGAUGAAGGCCUUAGGGUUGUAAAGCUCUUUUGUCCGGGACGAUAAUGACGGUACCGGAAGAAUAAGCCCCGGCUAACUUCGUGCCAGCAGCCGCGGUAAUACGAAGGGGGCUAGCGUUGCUCGGAAUCACUGGGCGUAAAGGGCGCGUAGGCGGCCAUUCAAGUCGGGGGUGAAAGCCUGUGGCUCAACCACAGAAUUGCCUUCGAUACUGUUUGGCUUGAGUAUGGCAGAGGUUAGUGGAACUGCGAGUGUAGAGGUGAAAUUCGUAGA
RNAcentral lists this ribosomal RNA (557 nucleotides) under uncultured Methylobacterium sp. RNAcentral's name for it is "bacterial SSU rRNA". It matches the Rfam family "Bacterial small subunit ribosomal RNA", at positions 102 to 694 of the family's 1533-position model. Lineage: Bacteria; Pseudomonadati; Pseudomonadota; Alphaproteobacteria; Hyphomicrobiales; Methylobacteriaceae. The record is from RNAcentral.